RNAcentral lists this unclassified non-coding RNA (19 nucleotides) under synthetic construct. RNAcentral describes it as "RNA (5'-R(*GP*GP*CP*GP*A)-D(P*(2PR))-R(P*GP*AP*AP*CP*CP*GP*GP*GP*GP*AP*GP*CP*C)-... from synthetic construct (PDB 7F8Z, chain J)". The record is from RNAcentral.
GGCGAGGAACCGGGGAGCC